GACGAACGCUGGCGGCGUGCCUAAUACAUGCAAGUCGAGCGGACGAAUCGAAAGCUUGCUUUUGAUUCGUUAGCGGCGGACGGGUGAGUAACACGUGGGCAACCUGCCCUGUAGACGGGGAUAACACCGAGAAAUCGGUGCUAAUACCGGAUAACACGAAAUGUCGCAUGACGUUUCGUUGAAAGACGGCGCAAGCUGUCGCUACAGGAUGGGCCCGCGGCGCAUUAGCUAGUUGGUGAGGUAACGGCUCACCAAGGCGACGAUGCGUAGCCGACCUGAGAGGGUGAUCGGCCACACUGGGACUGAGACACGGCCAAGACUCCUACGGGAGGCAGCAGUAGGGAAUCUUCCGCAAUGGACGAAAGUCUGACGGAGCAACGCCGCGUGAGCGAAGAAGGCCCUCGGGUCGUAAAGCUCUGUUGUUAGGGAAGAACAAGUAACGCAGUAACUGGCGUUACCGUGACGGUACCUAACGAGAAAGCCACGGCUAACUACGUG
Molecule: ribosomal RNA, 498 nt
Filed under: uncultured bacterium
Lineage: Bacteria
Description: partial 16S ribosomal RNA
Rfam family: Bacterial small subunit ribosomal RNA
Source: RNAcentral